GCAGCAGGCACGCAAAUUACCCACUCCCGGCACGGGGAGGUAGUGACAAAAAAUAACGAUACGGGACUCUAUUGAGGCCCCGUAAUCGGAAUGAGUACACUUUAAAUCCUUUAACAAGGAUCCAUUGGAGGGCAAGUCUGGUGCCAGCAGCCGCGGUAAUUCCAGCUCCAAUAGCGUAUAUUAAAGUUGUUGCGGUUAAAAAGCUCGUAGUUGGUUCUGCGUGCCACGCUGUCGGUUCGCCGCCUGUCGGUGUAACUGGCAUGUCGUGGCAUGUCCUGUCGGUGGUGAACGGGGUCCCUGGUACGACGUAGGCUUUUAUAAGCUGAAAUCAGUACCGUGUGUGUUCCCGUUUGCCGAUCUCUCCUACUCCGGUGCUCUUAAACGAGUGUCGAGGUAGGCCGACACGUUCACUUUGAACAAAUUAGAGUGCUUAAAGCAGGCUAAAAUAUCUGCCUGAAUAGUGGUGCAUGGAAUGAUAAAACAGGACCUCAGUUCUAUUUUGUUGGUUUUAGGAAUAUGAGGUAAUGAUCAAUGUGGACUGGCGGGGGCAUUCGUAUUGCGACGUUAGAGGUGAAAUUCUUGGAUCGUCGCAAGACGCACUAGAGCGAAAGCAUUUGCCAAGUAUGUCUUAAUUGAUCAAGAACGAAAGUUAGAGGUUCGAAGGCGAUCAGAUACCGCCCUAGUUCUAACCAUAAACGAUGCCAGCCAGCGAUCCGCCGAUGUUCCUUUAAUGACUCGGCGGGGAGCUUCUACUCGGGAAACCAAAGCUUUUGGGUUCCGGGGGAAGUAUGGUUGCAAAGCUGAAACUUAAAGGAAUUGACGGAAGGGCACCACCAGGAGUGGAGCCUGCGGCUUAAUUUGACUCAACACGGGAAACCUCACCAGGCCAGGACAUUGGAAGGAUUGACAGAUUGAUAGCUCUUUCUUGAUUCAGUGGGUAGUGGUGCAUGGCCGUUC
RNAcentral lists this ribosomal RNA (957 nucleotides) under Velinus sp. CW-2009. Its description in RNAcentral is "SSU rRNA". It matches the Rfam family "Eukaryotic small subunit ribosomal RNA", at positions 425 to 1293 of the family's 1831-position model. Lineage: Eukaryota; Metazoa; Arthropoda; Insecta; Hemiptera; Reduviidae. The record is from RNAcentral.